AUUGAACGCUGGCGGCAGGCCUAACACAUGCAAGUCGAGCGGAUGAAGGGAGCUUGCUCCUGGAUUCAGCGGCGGACGGGUGAGUAAUGCCUAGGAAUCUGCCUGGUAGUGGGGAUAACGUCCGGAAACGGGCGCUAAUACCGCAUACGUCCUGAGGGAGAAAGUGGGGGAUCUUCGGACCUCACGCUAUCAGAUGAGCCUAGGUCGGAUUAGCUAGUUGGUGGGGUAAAGGCCUACCAAGGCGACGAUCCGUAACUGGUCUGAGAGGAUGAUCAGUCACACUGGAACUGAGACCCGGUCCAAACUCCUACGGGAGGCAGGAGUGGGGAAUAUUGGAAAAUGGGCGAAAGCCUGAUCCAGCCAGGCCGGGUGUGUGAAGAAGGUCUUCGGAUUGUAAAGCACUUUAAGUUGGGAGGAAGGGCAGUAAGUUAAUACCUUGCUGUUUUGACGUUACCAAAAGAAUAAGCACCGGCUAACUUCGU
Molecule: ribosomal RNA, 482 nt
Filed under: uncultured bacterium
Lineage: Bacteria
Description: partial 16S ribosomal RNA
Rfam family: Bacterial small subunit ribosomal RNA
Source: RNAcentral